Molecule: ribosomal RNA, 253 nt
Filed under: uncultured bacterium
Lineage: Bacteria
Description: partial 16S ribosomal RNA
Rfam family: Bacterial small subunit ribosomal RNA
Source: RNAcentral
UACGUAGGGUGCAAGCGUUGUCCGGAAUUAUUGGGCGUAAAGAGCUCGUAGGCGGUUUGUCGCGUCUGCUGUGAAAACUCGGGGCUUAACCCCGGGCCGGCAGUGGGUACGGGCAGACUAGAGUGCGGUAGGGGAGACUGGAAUUCCUGGUGUAGCGGUGAAAUGCGCAGAUAUCAGGAGGAACACCGGUGGCGAAGGCAGGUCACUGGGCCGCAACUGACGCUGAGGAGCGAAAGCAUGGGGAGAGAACAGG